Cyprinus carpio (common carp) is the source of this 1108-nucleotide long non-coding RNA. The record is from Ensembl. Lineage: Eukaryota; Metazoa; Chordata; Actinopteri; Cypriniformes; Cyprinidae.
UUAGUGGGUUGAGAAAGCGAACAGUGUGCAGAGCUGUAAUCUAGACAUUUAUAAAAUGUGGUAAAUAGUUAGAAUGAUGAAUAAGUAGGUGUGUCCAACUUUGACCGGUUGUGUAGUUUGAGGAAACUAGUUCAAGUUAUUGCACUCAGGCACUUUCUCAGUCGUCUACACCGGGUCCUUCGCUCCUCCUGUAGUGUGUCCACGUGGAGCUCAUGCGCUCUUAAAGCGGUAGACGGGUUCGUUGUACAGCAUAUGGGUGAGUUAAAUGUUAUUUGAUCGGGUUUUAUAGUAAAUGUUUACGACACCAUGAGGACAAGUGUGAAUGUACAUUUAUAUUAAUUUGCAUACGUUAGAUUGCUCCACGUGAGUAGUUCCAAAAAUGACAACAGCUGACUUUAAAUCUAUUUAUUGUAAAAACAGAAGAAAAAAGUGAAGCUAGUUCAAUUAAAAUGCUGUUUAUACUGAAUCCACGCAGACACAGUACAGUUCUCGGUCUUGCCUUUUUGUGUUGCCCAUUCAUUUUCCAUUAGAUGAAUGUGGUGUCUUCUAAGGCGCACAAUAAAUCUUGAAAUAGCCACAUUUAUGAGAGAACACUCUUCAUUGUUCCUCUUGCUUGCGCUAUGACAAGAACAGCAUUCACAAUAAGCUAUAUCCAUGACUUGAACAUUUCUGUGCAUGCUUUAACAAUCAUGUUCUAUCGUUUCAGGUGAGCAGCGUGGACAGGGUCACAGACACCUGGGUGUAUAGUCACAGAAGAGUGGUUCUUUCCAGCGGCUGUAAAUUACCCAGAAUUCAAGGACUAGAGGUUAGUUUUACUAAGAAUGACUCUCAGACGAACUUGGUUUGUUUUGACUUGAUUCAUAUUUUGCUGCUCUGUGAUGAUUUGUAUGGUAUAAUGUGUUGUGUACAUAAAUUUGAGCUCAGUAAGGGCUGGCCGCUGUUUUAUAACUUAUAAUUUUCCGCAUUUAUAUGUUCAUGCUGUGUCCAAGUGUUUCUGUGGUUUAAUAUUUCUCCCUGUUCUCUUCCAGAUGCUGUUUUCUGUAUGUGUGAAUAUGCAUGACAUACUUUUAUAAAUAAAACCUUCUGUUUAACUGUCUGUCUUUUGUAU